This is a long non-coding RNA of Panicum virgatum (switchgrass), 3302 nucleotides long. RefSeq lists it as uncharacterized. Lineage: Eukaryota; Viridiplantae; Streptophyta; Magnoliopsida; Poales; Poaceae. The record is from RefSeq and is a predicted model, not a curated record. The transcript has 5 exons.
GACAGGCGUUGGAUCCCGCGCCGCCCGCCGCCCUCCCCCUCCUAUCCGUCUCCUGUGCCGCGCACUCUCGGCACCCCCUCCGCCGGCGCGCCGCCUCCGUCCCCUCCUCCGCCAAUCCCUCCACCACUGUCCCCGCUGCUGUGCGCCGUCGCGAUUCCGUGGGAAGCUGCUACCCCCCGCAGUCGUAACCACGCGCCUUCAGGCCUCCCCCGCUGCCAUGCGCCGUCCAGACCACGGGCGUGCAUCGAGCCGUCCCCUAAUCCCGGCGCGUGAGCAGCUGGUGGAUCGAGCCGGCCGGCGGAGUCCCAGCCACGCGCAGCAACUAAUGUGGGACCUUCCCUGGCAUAAGAACACGUAAACAUCGUCGCCGCUGGCCCCGCUGUCCUUGGCUAGAAGAAGUUCCAUACGACGCCAGCUGCUGACAACGGACACAAGCUAGCACGGCUAGGAUGCCGUCGCAAGAAGAUGAAGCGGUGCCCCAGAUCUACUAAUCACAAGGCUGAGACGGUGGUGCAGGCAGCUUGUAGGAAUGUAGGGGAGAUGACUGAUUUACAUCUACCCCUUCUCAGACCUAUGCUGUUGAUGCCGGUCGUUGAGGAGGUACCCAGUGCACAUUUUGCCCUUGUCAAAUAAUGCAUGCCUGCAACUACAGUAGCAAGCAAGGUACCCACCUGACGAUUUCACAGUUUGCAGAGUGUCCAUACUACCAAUUUGUGAAAAUGGUUAAUAAAAUAUGAUUGUAUAUUUAUUGAUUCGCCUCUACCUUAUGUUUGGGUCUUUGUAAUUAGCAGGUUCAGUUCUUGAUGAUAGGAAGCAAGAGCAGCACAACGAGGCAACUGAUCAGCUCCCAAAAAGCAAAGAUCAUUCCUCCAGCCAGCUAGACCAUUUAGUUCGUUUCUUCCAUGUAGGUUAGUUUGUGCCUCUAUUACUGAAGAAAUUAGUUUUCCUUCUGCAUUGCUUACGCUAAAGCAACAUAUUCUUUUCAUCACUUUUCUUAUGCUGGUCAUUUAUUUUUACUCCUUUACUAUAUAUGUUUUUGUCGCAUCACUGUGUUGCUACAGUUUUAAGCUAUUCAAGUAUAGCAGCUUUGUAUUCCUUUUUUAUAUUAUUUUUGAUAUGCUAAAAUCAUAUUGAUCAUAUUCUUUUGUCCAAUCUAAAGAUGCUGCCAAAAUAAUUAGCAUGGGCUCUUAGAAAUUGAAACUAUGCUAUUUUGGCAGACGUAGCUGAUUUCUUUCCAUGGGCUAAAGAGGUUUCAGUGUUAUAUGACCCAAGCAUGCAAAAAUAGAAAAAAAAUUUGUCAUUGUUCUUCUCUGUAGCUUGCAUUUGGACCGGUAAUGCGGUACAUGUAGCAGAUUCCAAAGACGGUCACCAGGUUAUAGACUUAUUGCAGGCAGCUGACUUUUGUUUAGAGGUAUAUACACAGUAGCUGAUUUUCUUGAUCUGCUUAAGUUUCCUUGUCUACUCAGUGAUAGUUGAUCUUGGGACAUUGCAAUAAGUCACUUUGUCAGCUAACUUUGUCUUUCAUGGGGCUCUAGAGAUGAAAUAGUGAAGCUGUUAAAAUGAUGAAAGCAAAUAAUAAAUCAGGCAAUGCAACUAUGGAAGAGAAAUGAUAUCAUUUAUUCUGUUAUUUUUUUCUUUCAUAAUAGCAUCAGGUAAAAGCAACAAGUGAGCAAGCACAACAGGGGAGCCAAAUUUCCAUUCUGCAUUUCACUUUUACCAUAUUGACUUAUGCUUUAUCAUCAGGUGUUAUUCUGAUUAUGUAGUAAAACUACUGGGCAACAAGAUAUGAAUUGUUGCAUCAGGUGAGACAGCUUAUCCUGGUAGCAACUGUCCUACAUUGAGCAGGGGGAAAGGAAGUACUGGUUGCAGGUAUUAACCAUUGCCAGUUGCUUACUUCUGUAAUAUUCGGAAAUAUUUUCGUUGGAGUAUUCCUGACUCCUGUAAAAGUAAGGUCAUCUCAUAUAUGCUGGUUACGUAGCUGAAUAUUCGUAACUAUUUUCAUUAGAACAUUUGGAGCAAAUGAAUUUUGUAAACAAACUACAGCUGUUGUCAUGUGUGAAAUCUUGGGGCACAAUGACACAACUUACAUGCCCAUCUUUUUCCUUGUUCUGUGAUGGAGUUUUUUUACAAUGCCUCAGUGGCCAUCUUACAUAUAUAUGUACAGAUUUCUGAAAUUUUCCAUUGGAACACAUGAUUUGUUGCAUCAGGUAUUGGUCACAAGUAUUAACCACAGUCAAAUCCAUAUUUUAAGAAAAAAACAGACUGAACUCAUGACCGUUCUUUUACUGGCCAAUUUUGUUGUUGCUUAACAUGCGCUUACAUGGCUGUGGUCAGUCUUCAUCACGGUCAAAUGCGCUUGAUGCGAUUUAGUGUUCUAAGGAACCUUUUAAGAUUGGUAUAUACUAUAUGAGAAAUUUUUUACCAGUCACAGUGACCAUCUUACAUAUUUAUGUACAGUUUUCUGAAAUUUUUCAUCAGAACACAUGAUUUGUUGCGUCAGGUAUUGGUCACAGGUAUUAACCACUGCCAAAUCCAUAUUUUAGGGGGAAAAAAACAAACUGAACUCCAUGACCGUUCUUUUACUUGCCAAUUUUGUUGUUGCUUAACAUGCAUUUACAUGGCUGUGGUCUGUCUUCAUUACGGUCAAAUGCGCUUGAUGCGAUUUAGUUGUUCUAAGGAGCCUUUUAAGAUUGGUAUAUACUAAAUGAGAUAAAUUAUUUAUGGAAUUAGUCUUGUGAUUAUUGUUUUUCUAAUUUGGAAAGAACUGAUAAGGGCAUAGUGCUUAUGUAUAGCUCAUAGCAGUGUAAUUUUCCAUUGUCACAUUGGGGCAUUUGCCAUACUUAAAUCUCAUAAUUUGAGAAUGUAUUUGGCGUAGAUGGAUUUUAGUGGAACUCAACAGUUUCUUCCCUUUGGUGGCUGAAUGCACGUAUGCCUAAUAGUAUGUGAUCGUUGUCAUUUUUCAUGUCCCAUGCUAAAAAUACUAGAAAACAUUCUAAUUCUCUUUUGUCAGAUCACAACUUGUGCCAUCAAAAUCAUCGCAAGCCAAUAGGUUUUCUGGUGGCGAUUCAACUUUCAACUAACGGAGGUGAUAUCAAUUCACGAAGACGUAUCCAAAUAAAGGUAUGGGAACGGGAAGUUGGCUGUAUUUGCAAAUGAGCUACACAUAUUGUUGCAUUGAAUGUAAUUAUUACUGUUUGAGUAGCCACCAUGGAUAUUGCAAUGGUAAACAUAUUAUUGUUUUGUUCCCAUAAGAUGCCAAGUACGAAUUCUAAAGUAUGCAAGUAUGGUUGGUGCUUAUGAGA